CUCGGAUGUGGGUGUCAGGUGGAGCUCUGUAUACUAUCGCCCCUAGGGUAGAGGGGACUACCCCCUCCUGGGGGCAGACCCCUUGAACCUGGUUGUCAGGUGGAGCUCUGAAUAUCAUCGCCCCUAGGGUAGAGGGGACUCCCAUCUCCAGAGGGAGACCCCUCGAACCUGGUUGUCGCGGGGGUGGGGUGGGGGGAGCUCUGUAUACCAUUUCUCAUUUUUCUGGUUUUACAUGAUGUAGAAUCUCACCUGUUUUGUUGUUAUAUAGUUUCAUAGGGGUAGUAAUGUCUGAUUCAUUCUACUAUCCCUCCUACCCCAUUGCCCCUCCCCUCCCUUUUCUCCCCUCUACCAAAUCUAAAGUAACAGUAACUAUUCUUCUGUAGCUCCCCACAUUGUGAAUUAGCAUGGGCAUAUCAAAGAAAAGAUUGUACCUGUUUUUAAAGUCAUAAAUGAUUAUAACUCUUCAGUUAUAACAAUAUAGUUGACACUCUAAAUAUGUGUGACUAGGUGUAUGUAUGCAUCUGAGAAGUAUAUCUGUCUAAGCCUUGUCUACGUGUUAUGUAAAAGUUUACAAAAUGAAAGUUUUUGCAAGUUUACCAGCAAGAUAACCAAUAAGUGCUCUUUUAUGCAUUGUAUCUUACAUAGAAGGGCCACACUGUCAUUUGAAGACCUGUCUUACAUCCGUUUGCUGUAACUAAGUUAAUUUCUGAUCAUUAACAGUGUUUCCUAAGUGUAUAAGAUUUCAGGCUAUCCUUUGAUUUUUGUUAACCCAUGCAGACCUGUGAUUCUUGUUACCAUACACUUUAAACUCUAAAUUGUUCUUAAAAAAAGUUAAACUUGGGUAAAGUAAAGCUUAGGGCAGCCCUUUGCAAAGAUGAUGUUAUCUAAACUAAAAUUUAUAGAAAAAUCUUGGAUUUGUAUAGAAAUAACAAAUUUGAUUGGUAUCUAUUCAUGUUGUUUGAUGUUUUAUAGCUGGAUGAAGUUACUUGUUGUCAAUAAUUA
RNAcentral lists this long non-coding RNA (1002 nucleotides) under Marmota monax (woodchuck). The record is from RNAcentral. Lineage: Eukaryota; Metazoa; Chordata; Mammalia; Rodentia; Sciuridae.